RNAcentral lists this small nuclear RNA (118 nucleotides) under Propithecus coquereli (Coquerel's sifaka). RNAcentral's name for it is "U5 spliceosomal RNA (ENSPCOG00000009319.1)". It matches the Rfam family "U5 spliceosomal RNA". Rfam says of the family: U5 RNA is a component of both types of known spliceosome. The precise function of this molecule is unknown, though it is known that the 5' loop is required for splice site selection and p220 binding, and that both the 3' stem-loop and the Sm site are important for Sm protein binding and cap methylation. The record is from Rfam by way of RNAcentral. Lineage: Eukaryota; Metazoa; Chordata; Mammalia; Primates; Indriidae.
AUUCAUAAAGCCCUCCCUAGAAGGGACAAAUCUUUCACCUUUUACUAAAGAUUUCCACGGAGAGGAACAGUUGUGAGUUGGUGACCAAAUUUUUUGAGGCCUUAAAUAAAUAAAGUCC